RNAcentral lists this ribosomal RNA (500 nucleotides) under uncultured bacterium. RNAcentral describes it as "partial 16S ribosomal RNA". It matches the Rfam family "Bacterial small subunit ribosomal RNA", at positions 29 to 523 of the family's 1533-position model. The record is from RNAcentral.
AGCGAACGCUGGCGGCAGGCCUAACACAUGCAAGUCGAGCGGAUGACGGGAGCUUGCUCCUUGAUUCAGCGGCGGACGGGUGAGUAAUGCCUAGGAAUCUGCCUGGUAGUGGGGGACAACGUUUCGAAAGGAACGCUAAUACCGCAUACGUCCUACGGGAGAAAGCAGGGGACCUUCGGGCCUUGCGCUAUCAGAUGAGCCUAGGUCGGAUUAGCUAGUUGGUGGGGUAAUGGCUCACCAAGGCGACGAUCCGUAACUGGUCUGAGAGGAUGAUCAGUCACACUGGAACUGAGACACGGUCCAGACUCCUACGGGAGGCAGCAGUGGGGAAUAUUGGACAAUGGGCGAAAGCCUGAUCCAGCCAUGCCGCGUGUGUGAAGAAGGUCUUCGGAUCGUAAAGCACUUUAAGUUGGGAGGAAGGGCAGUAAGUUAAUACCUUGCUGUUUUGACGCUACCGACAGAAUAAGCACCGGCUAACUCUGUGCCAGCCGCCGCCGUAA